RNAcentral lists this ribosomal RNA (911 nucleotides) under uncultured bacterium. RNAcentral describes it as "bacterial SSU rRNA". It matches the Rfam family "Bacterial small subunit ribosomal RNA", at positions 13 to 916 of the family's 1533-position model. The record is from RNAcentral.
UUGAUCCUGGCUCAGGAUGAACGCUAGCUACAGGCUUAACACAUGCAAGUCGAGGGGCAGCAUGGUCUUAGCUUGCUAAGGCCGAUGGCGACCGGCGCACGGGUGAGUAACACGUAUCCAACCUGCCGUCUACUCUUGGACAGCCUUCUGAAAGGAAGAUUAAUACAAGAUGGCAUCAUGAGUCCGCAUGUUCACAUGAUUAAAGGUAUUCCGGUAGACGAUGGGGAUGCGUUCCAUUAGAUAGUAGGCGGGGUAACGGCCCACCUAGUCUUCGAUGGAUAGGGGUUCUGAGAGGAAGGUCCCCCACAUUGGAACUGAGACACGGUCCAAACUCCUACGGGAGGCAGCAGUGAGGAAUAUUGGUCAAUGGGCGAGAGCCUGAACCAGCCAAGUAGCGUGAAGGAUGACUGCCCUAUGGGUUGUAAACUUCUUUUAUAAAGGAAUAAAGUCGGGUAUGCAUACCCGUUUGCAUGUACUUUAUGAAUAAGGAUCGGCUAACUCCGUGCCAGCAGCCGCGGUAAUACGGAGGAUCCGAGCGUUAUCCGGAUUUAUUGGGUUUAAAGGGAGCGUAGAUGGAUGUUUAAGUCAGUUGUGAAAGUUUGCGGCUCAACCGUAAAAUUGCAGUUGAUACUGGAUAUCUUGAGUGCAGUUGAGGCAGGCGGAAUUCGUGGUGUAGCGGUGAAAUGCUUAGAUAUCACGAAGAACUCCGAUUGCGAAGGCAGCCUGCUAAGCUGCAACUGACAUUGAGGCUCGAAAGUGUGGGUAUCAAACAGGAUUAGAUACCCUGGUAGUCCACACGGUAAACGAUGAAUACUCGCUGUUUGCGAUAUACAGCAAGCGGCCAAGCGAAAGCGUUAAGUAUUCCACCUGGGGAGUACGCCGGCAACGGUGAAACUCAAAUGAAUUGACGG